This 397-nucleotide ribosomal RNA is filed under the name uncultured bacterium. RNAcentral describes it as "bacterial SSU rRNA". It matches the Rfam family "Bacterial small subunit ribosomal RNA", at positions 29 to 430 of the family's 1533-position model. The record is from RNAcentral.
AUUGAACGCUGGCGGCAUGCCUUACACAUGCAAGUCGAACGGCAGCACGGGAGUAAUCCUGGUGGCGAGUGGCGAACGGGUGAGUAAUACAUCGGAACGUGCCCAGUAGUGGGGGAUAGCCCGGCGAAAGCCGGAUUAAUACCGCAUACGACCUACGGGUGAAAGCGGGGAUCGCAAGACCUCGCGCUAUCAGAGCGGCCGAUGUCAGAUUAGGUUGUUGGUGGGGUAAAGGCCUACCAAGCCGACGAUCUGUAGCUGGUCUGAGAGGACGACCAGCCACACUGGGACUGAGACACGGCCCAGACUCCUACGGGAGGCAGCAGUGGGGAAUUUUGGACAAUGGGGGCAACCCUGAUCCAGCCAUGCCGCGUGCGGGAAGAAGGCCUCGGUUGUAACG